This 253-nucleotide ribosomal RNA is filed under the name uncultured bacterium. RNAcentral's name for it is "partial 16S ribosomal RNA". It matches the Rfam family "Bacterial small subunit ribosomal RNA", at positions 524 to 776 of the family's 1533-position model. The record is from RNAcentral.
UACGAAGGGGGCUAGCGUUGCUCGGAAUCACUGGGCGUAAAGGGUGCGUAGGCGGGCCUUUAAGUCAGGGGUGAAAUCCUGGAGCUCAACUCCAGAACUGCCUUUGAUACUGAAGAUCUUGAGUUCGGGAGAGGUGAGUGGAACUGCGAGUGUAGAGGUGAAAUUCGUAGAUAUUCGCAAGAACACCAGUGGCGAAGGCGGCUCACUGGCCCGGUACUGACGCUGAGGUGCGAAAGCGUGGGGAGCAAACAGG